GGAAGGACAGCUGUGGCAGCCAAUGGCUUUGGAGAGAGGGAGGAGCUUCCUACCAUUAACUCCAGUUUGUGCAGCUUGCACAAACCGGACACCACAUACCUACAGACCAUUGGUUUGUAUGGAGAAUCUCCACACCAACACUGAUGGCCACCGGGAAUGUUCUUCACUGGACUGGAAACUCUGCACAGAAUCAGAGCAAUCUAUGAGAUGAGCAACUUUCAAAUGUUACAGCUCUCUCCUGGAACAUGAGUAAUGCCAUAGAUUUCAAUGGACCAUAUGUAUGCUUGAAGAUCUAUGUAUUUAUGCUCUAUGUUUAGAAUAUAUAUUGUUACAUGCACUCCCCCACUUUCCAAUGAGAAAAAGUCAGGAAGGAAAAAGGUUAGGGAGAGGAGAGCUGGUCUUCUGGAAGCAAGCAUGACUUGUCCCCUUAGCUAAGCAGUGUCUGCCCUGGUUGCAUAUGAAUGGGAGACUAGAAGUGUGAGCACUGUAAGAUAUUCCCCCCAGGAGCCACUCUGGGAAGAGCAGCAGGUUUCAAAGUUCUCUUCCUGGCUUCUCCGAGAUAGGGCUGAGAGAGAUUUCUGCCUGAAACCUUAAGAAAGCCGCUGCCAGUCUGUGAAGACAAUACUGAGCUAGAUAGAUCAAUGGUCUGACUCAGUAUAUGGCAGCUUCUUAUGUUCCUGUGUUUUUAUGUUCCCAUGCACCAUGGUCCUGCUCUGGAUUGGGCCCUCCACAAUUCUUUUGUUGAAAAAAGAAACUACACCUCUUAAUAACACAUUUUACAUACUGUGUGUUGUUUGCCCCUAAGAGGAUAGGGAAUUAAUGCAGGGAAGACAGAACAUAAAUACAUGAAACCUAGAAUAUCAUUGUAUUAGGUAUUAAUUAGAGAGCCAGCGUGGUGUGGUGGUUAGAGUGCUGGACUAGGACCGGGGAGACCUGAGUUCAAAUCCCCAUUCAGCCAUGAAACUAGCUGGGUGACUCUGGGCCAGUCACUUCUCUCUCAGCCUAACCUACUUCACAGGGUUGUUGUGAAAGAGAAACUCAAGUAUGUAGUAUACCGCUCUGGGCUCCUUGGAAGAAGAGCAGGAUAUAAAUGUAAUAAAUAAAUAAAUACAUAAAAAUAAUAAAAAAAAAUUU
Hemicordylus capensis (graceful crag lizard) is the source of this 1134-nucleotide long non-coding RNA. RefSeq lists it as uncharacterized. The record is from RefSeq and is a predicted model, not a curated record. The transcript is spliced from 2 exons. Lineage: Eukaryota; Metazoa; Chordata; Lepidosauria; Squamata; Cordylidae.